Molecule: ribosomal RNA, 253 nt
Filed under: uncultured bacterium
Lineage: Bacteria
Description: partial 16S ribosomal RNA
Rfam family: Bacterial small subunit ribosomal RNA
Source: RNAcentral
UACGUAGGGUCCGAGCGUUGUCCGGAAUUACUGGGCGUAAAGAGCUCGUAGGCGGUCUGUCGCGUCGGCUGUGAAAACCCGAGGCUCAACCUCGGGCCUGCAGUCGAUACGGGCAGACUAGAGUGUGGUAGGGGAGACUGGAAUUCCUGGUGUAGCGGUGAAAUGCGCAGAUAUCAGGAGGAACACCGGCGGCGAAGGCGGGUCUCUGGGCCAUAACUGACGCUGAGGAGCGAAAGCGUGGGGAGCGAACAGG